Long non-coding RNA from Cebus imitator (Panamanian white-faced capuchin), 698 nucleotides. RefSeq lists it as uncharacterized. The transcript is spliced from 2 exons. NCBI's taxonomy places the organism in Eukaryota, Metazoa, Chordata, Mammalia, Primates, Cebidae. The record is from RefSeq and is a predicted model, not a curated record.
CAUUACAGGCAUGAGCCACUGUGCCUGGCCAGGAAGCCUUGAUUCUGAAGAUUUUUCAAAGCACUUGCUGCCAUUUCUCCAUCUUUAUGUCCCAAAUUUUCUUCCAGAGAGGUACAGGCAGUUGAAGGGAAGAAGCUGGCAGAGUCCUGGGGAGCGACAUUUAUGGAGUCAUCUGCUCGAGAGAAUCAGCUGACUCAAUGCAUCUUCACCAAAGUGAUCCAGGAGAUUGCCCGUGUGGAGAAUUCCUAUGGUCAAGAGCGUCGCUGCCAUCUCAUGUGAGCCCUCGGGUGUGGGGUAACUGCCUUGUUUCUGCCCCUGGCACUUGCCAUGUUCCAGUGGGGGCAGACCCUCAGGACUUCAUGGGUAUGUUUGCCAGCUGUGUACCUGGCCCCUGGGCACACAGUGUGGCAUCCUCAUAUUUGCACACUUUCCCCAGGCUCCAGUGGCCUGGAUGUCAAUGUUUACAAAGGGGCAAGGACAUCUCAUGGACACUGGCCGUCUAGCCCUCUGUUUUUGCUAGAUGAAUUCUGUUAUAACCUAUGGGGUUAGAAUAUGAGUCCUGGGCAUUAUUUAUCCAGGACCCAUCCUCUUGGGUGGGUUUUGGGUGUUGGCUCGGUAAGGGGAGCUGGGGACUCCUGAAAUAGAGCUGACUCCCUGGGGUGACAAUGUAUACAUGCAAAUAAACUGAGAAAUCUUUU